RNAcentral lists this ribosomal RNA (253 nucleotides) under uncultured bacterium. RNAcentral's name for it is "partial 16S ribosomal RNA". It matches the Rfam family "Bacterial small subunit ribosomal RNA", at positions 524 to 776 of the family's 1533-position model. The record is from RNAcentral.
UACGUAGGUGGCAAGCGUUGUCCGGAUUUACUGGGCGUAAAGAGCGCGCAGGCGGUCGUUCAAGUCGCGUGUGAAAGCCCCCGGCUCAACUGGGGAGGGUCACGCGAUACUGAUCGACUCGAAGGCAGGAGAGGGUAGUGGAAUUCCCGGUGUAGUGGUAAAAUGCGUAGAUAUCGGGAGGAACACCAGUGGCGAAGGCGACUACCUGGCCUGUUCUUGACGCUGAGGCGCGAAAGCUAGGGGAGCAAACGGG